GGUGAUAUAGUUCAGUGAUUGAAUAUUUGAAUAACAAAGACAAAGUUCUGGGUUAGAUUCCCAGGAUCAUUA
Molecule: non-coding RNA, 72 nt
Organism: Mus musculus (house mouse)
Lineage: Eukaryota; Metazoa; Chordata; Mammalia; Rodentia; Muridae
Source: Rfam